Molecule: ribosomal RNA, 492 nt
Filed under: uncultured bacterium
Lineage: Bacteria
Description: partial 16S ribosomal RNA
Rfam family: Bacterial small subunit ribosomal RNA
Source: RNAcentral
AGUGAACGCUGGCGGUAGGCCUAACACAUGCAAGUCGAACGGCAGCACAGUAAGAGCUUGCUCUUACGGGUGGCGAGUGGCGGACGGGUGGGGAAUACAUCGGAAUCUACUUUUUCGUGGGGGAUAACGUAGGGAAACUUACGCUAAUACCGCAUACGACCUACGGGUGAAAGCAGGGGAUCUUCGGACCUUGCGCGAUUGAAUGAGCCGAUGUCGGAUUAUCUGGUUGGCGGGGUAAAGGCCCACCAAGGCGACGAUCCGUAGCUGGUCUGAGAGGAUGAACAGGCACACUGGAACUGAGACACGGUCCAGACUCCUACGGGAGGCAGCGGUGGGGAAUAUUGGACAAUGGGCGCAAGCCUGAUCCAGCCAUACCGCGUGGGUGAAGAAGGCCUUCGGGUUGUAAAGCCCUUUUGUUGGGAAAGAAAAGCAGCAGGUUAAUACCCCGCUGUUCUGACGGUACCCAAAGAAUAAGCACCGGCUAACUUCGUG